GCCAACUUUGCUUUUGAAUGUCCCUGGAACGAUGCAGUCACACAAUAUAAGGAAAUACAGAAUCAAAAACCUAUAAAACCUGCGACACAAUGACUCACAAAGAAGCAUGAAUAUGGAUGCAGGUAUGAUAAACUACUUGGUUCAAGUACAUAUUCAAUAUUAUUUUAAUACUUGGUUCAAGAACAUAAAAUCAUAAAAUUGGAUGUAUAAAGACUAUGAAUUAUGUUAACAACACAUGUCCAACUAGUCAAAGUAGUAAAAGCCAAUCUUAUGAGCCUAACCAUGCUUUUAGCUAUGAUGAAUUAUUAUUAGGAUGAGACAUUAUGAAAAAGGAAACUUUUCAUCAAAUUCUCAAUAAAUCAUCCACAAACUCUUGCAAAGAUGUUUUAGGUAAAACUCCAUCAAAUACAAGCUUAUUUUUCCAAUUUGUACAAUAAAAAACAAUUGAUAUAUGAAUCACAGUUAAAGUACUACGAAAAUUGUCCCAAAUUUUUGUUGCAUAAACUUAAACCAUAUGUUAAAUUAGAAAUAUAACCCAAAAUUGUCAAACAAAAACAGGUUCGAUUAGAGAAAUUGCAAAAUGAAAAUUUAGGCAAUGUUUGAAUUGAAAUUUUUGAAUUGUUUAUGUUUGAAUUGUAAUGUUUUAAAUAAUAUGGACUACAUUCUAAUCAACUUCAUACUCCAAAGUUUUGCUUCCAUUUAUUUUCACCAUUUUUAAUUAUUAACAUCUCUUGGACACACUAUGACAGAUGAUAUGUAGAAGUUCCAUUUUAUAGUCCAUCAUCUACGGAGUGGGUCAAAAGCCAUCAUACGAAACUCUAAUACAAGGAAUAUUUAGUAUCCAUGCUUCAUAGUUCAUCAGCAAUAUAUUUGAAAUAAAUAAUAGUACCAUAGCUGUUGGAAGAAGCUACA
RNAcentral lists this unclassified non-coding RNA (912 nucleotides) under Hevea brasiliensis (rubber tree). Lineage: Eukaryota; Viridiplantae; Streptophyta; Magnoliopsida; Malpighiales; Euphorbiaceae. The record is from RNAcentral.